This 1068-nucleotide long non-coding RNA is filed under the name Pogona vitticeps (central bearded dragon). RNAcentral describes it as "lncRNA (ENSPVIG00000014850.1)". The record is from RNAcentral. Lineage: Eukaryota; Metazoa; Chordata; Lepidosauria; Squamata; Agamidae.
AUGCUCUUGUUUUCAGUUCCACACAUCUUCCCCAGAGGGAACAUCAGUUUUGCUUAUGAAGAGAAUCGAACAGAACUACAAACUACUCAAAGCUUGCCUGAAGCUACAACUACUUUUCCUGCAGCAAGCACAAUAAAAGCUAAGAUUCCUCCCAAGGCCCCCAGGUGGGAAGGAUAUGAGGGGAGUGAUUACUGGUUUUCAGAAGACAUGGCCAGCUGGCUCAACAGCCGAACCACGUGCAAAACUUGGAAUUCAGAACUCGUGAUCAUCAAUGACAGAAAGGAACUGGAGUUUAUUUCUAACAAAACAAGGAUGGCUGAUUAUUUCAUUGGACUGACAUAUAUGGAGCCUGAAGAACAACAGCCAGCAAGAUGGCAGUGGAAUGAUGGUCGUGAACUCGAGAGGAGCUUUGCUGAUGGGUGCACCAUAUCCAACACAUGGCAAUCUCUCCUACUGGGUAUGAAAGAUUUGAAAUGUGACGCUUUAUUCUGCCUUUAAAGGGCUGGAUUCCAAGAAGGACAGAUGUAUCUCUUGUACAUUUAGCAGUUGCACUGAAGGAAGGGAUUUCAAGAACAUGAAGUUACUAAACACCCGUGCGACCAAUUAGACCAGCGUUCCCUCUUCUGUAUUAAUGGGAAAUGUCUCUUCCUGAAGAUGUUCCACAGAGGUUACAACAUUUACACCAUAUGUGGAUUGCAGACCCAUCCACCCAUUAUUAGUAGGGUAAUUGAAGGUUUCUUUUGUAUUAAAAGUAAUAGCUAAAGAGGUCUAGUUUUUAGAAGAGGAUCACUGUACAAAAAUGAACUGCCACAAGCAUGCACUGAAUUUAGGCCCAGUCAAACUGUGAUUCAAAUCUAUUGAGCCAUGAGAUAUUUGCUCUCCACUGGAGUUAAAGAGUCAGAAGUUUUAAAAUGCUCACCAACUUCUGAGCUACUUUUCCCUUUCAAGGCAAAUCAACAUUACAGAUGCUACUAGGAAUUGUAUUUGUCCGUAUCCCAAACCAGGUCUUUUCUGACUGCUUAUGUUGAUUAAAAUAAAUUGGGUUGUGGUUUUUUUUCUGGCGUAUAC